Molecule: ribosomal RNA, 511 nt
Filed under: Oxalobacteraceae bacterium 25s
Lineage: Bacteria; Pseudomonadati; Pseudomonadota; Betaproteobacteria; Burkholderiales; Oxalobacteraceae
Description: bacterial SSU rRNA
Rfam family: Bacterial small subunit ribosomal RNA
Source: RNAcentral
GGGCGCAAGCCUGAUCCAGCAAUGCCGCGUGAGUGAAGAAGGCCUUCGGGUUGUAAAGCUCUUUUGUCAGGGAAGAAACGGUGGGAGCUAAUAUCUCCUACUAAUGACGGUACCUGAAGAAUAAGCACCGGCUAACUACGUGCCAGCAGCCGCGGUAAUACGUAGGGUGCAAGCGUUAAAUCGGAAUUACUGGGCGUAAAGCGUGCGCAGGCGGUUUUGUAAGUCUGACGUGAAAGCCCCGGGCUCAACCUGGGAAUUGCGUUGGAGACUGCAAGGCUUGAAUCUGGCAGAGGGGGGUAGAAUUCCACGUGUAGCAGUGAAAUGCGUAGAGAUGUGGAGGAACACCGAUGGCGAAGGCAGCCCCCUGGGUCAAGAUUGACGCUCAUGCACGAAAGCGUGGGGAGCAAACAGGAUUAGAUACCCUGGUAGUCCACGCCCUAAACGAUGUCUACUAGUUGUCGGGUUUUAAUUAACUUGGUAACGCAGCUAACGCGUGAAGUAGACCGCCUGG